RNAcentral lists this ribosomal RNA (253 nucleotides) under uncultured bacterium. Its description in RNAcentral is "partial 16S ribosomal RNA". It matches the Rfam family "Bacterial small subunit ribosomal RNA", at positions 524 to 776 of the family's 1533-position model. The record is from RNAcentral.
UACGUAGGGUGCGAGCGUUGUCCGGAAUUAUUGGGCGUAAAGGGCUCGUAGGCGGUCUGUCGCGUCGGGAGUGAAAACUCAGGGCUUAACCCUGAGCCUGCUUCCGAUACGGGCAGACUAGAGGUAUGCAGGGGAGAACGGAAUUCCUGGUGUAGCGGUGAAUUGCGCAGAUAUCUGGAGGAACACCAGUGGCGAAGGCGACUCUUUGGCCUGUAACUGACGCUGAGGCGCGAAAGCGUGGGGAGCAAACAGG